This 167-nucleotide long non-coding RNA is filed under the name Bos indicus x Bos taurus (hybrid cattle). RNAcentral's name for it is "lncRNA (ENSBIXG00005004934.1)". The record is from RNAcentral. Lineage: Eukaryota; Metazoa; Chordata; Mammalia; Artiodactyla; Bovidae.
AAAACAUGGCUGCAGUUAUCAGGCUUCUGGAGAAAAAUAUGAAAGGAGGAGGGACAAAAGUGUUCAGAUAGCAUCAUUUCUUCUAGAAAAAUCUGAGGUGUGAUUUAUAAUCCUUGAAAAAUUCUCCUGGAGUUCUUCUGGGCAGAAGCGACUAAGUGCUGCUCUCA